This is a long non-coding RNA of Ictalurus punctatus (channel catfish), 2385 nucleotides long. RefSeq lists it as uncharacterized. The transcript has 3 exons. Lineage: Eukaryota; Metazoa; Chordata; Actinopteri; Siluriformes; Ictaluridae. The record is from RefSeq and is a predicted model, not a curated record.
GAGCAACUCGCCUCUACUCCAAGAAAACUGUCUCCUCCACUACCUCUUUUGUCAAGAAUCGAAACUAAUAUAUAACCGAUACGAAGACCUCAAACCAUCAGAUUCAUCUGCGCAGAGGAGCACUGCCGAAGCACAACCCAUGUAAAAAACAACAAAAAACUCUGCAAGUAACUUGCAAUUUUAUAUUUCAAACAGUGAGGCUAUAGAGAGGCAAAAGUUCAGUACUGCAGCUUUAAGUGCAGAGACAAAAUGACUAAUGUCAGGUACUUUACAUUAAACAUUAGCAUUUAUAUGUGGGAUUGAGCUCAUCAUUGUACUGCUGCUGCUUAUUAUCACAUUGCACAGUUGUCCUAACUCAACAGGCAGAUGGCAUUCCUUUAUAGAAAAAUGCACUAAUGCAGCUUGAAAAGCUUAUAUUGAACAGAGAGCUUGUGGGACUUUGCUGUUCCAUUAUUUAUCUAAAUGAAUUUCCGUUCUUCCUUCCACCAGAGAAAAUCAUUCAUUAAGAUGUGACCAUAUAUGAGAAAAUCUGAAUGAAAUGUUGAGUAUAAUCAAAUUGUUUUAUUGCUUUUUGUAUUGUCCAUCCAUCCAUCCAUCCAUCUUCUACCGCUUACUUCUUCAUCAGGGUCAUGGGGGAACCUGGAGCCAAUCCCAGGGAGCAUCGGGCACAAGGCGGGGUACACCCUGGAUAGGGUGCCAGUCCAUCGCAGGGCGCAAUCACAUACACACUCACACACCCAUUCAUAUACUAUGGACACUUUAGACACACCAAUCAGCCUGCCAUGCAUAUCUUUGGACUGGGGGAGGAAACUGGAGUACCCGGAGGAAAACCCCGCAACAUGGGGAGAACAUGCAAACUCCGCACACACAUGGCCCUGGCGGGAAUCGAACCCCAGACCAUGGGGGCGAACGUGCUAACCACUAAGCCACCAUGCGUCCGCUUUUUGUAUUGUGUUGAUCAUAUUUAAUAGACAUUCUACAUCAAAUACUAUUUGGAUAUAUUACUAAUUAGAUCUCUUUUUAUCUGAAACUCAACACUAGCGUGACCAAGAGCACAAAGGAAUCGGUGAUCAUUUAGUAACACGCUUUUGUCUCUCUGAGGACUGAGAUUCAGAAGCAUUCGUAUUUUUUCUCUUUCAGUUGCUCCCAUUUGAAGUCAUCCCAGUGGAUAACCCGUCCACAUAUUUUGAUUCUGGCACAAGUUUUACACCAGAUGCCCUUCCUGAUGCAACCUGCCCCAUUUACCAGGCUUAGGCCCAGCACUGAGAGUCCACUGGCUCACGCAAUCUUCCAGUAGCUGAGGUUGGUUCCCUGACCGAGAAUCAAACCUGGGCCACGGCGGAUGCUAGUCACUAGUCCACCAGGGAACCUCCAGAAGCACCUCAUUACAGAAGGAUAAAAGAACCACAGAGCCUUGAAAGGGAUGCGGUCUGGAAAUUUCGCACAUCCUGAGUGAAACUGGGGAGAAUAUUUUCAUGACUUCUUUGACUUACUGACUAAGCUUCAUGGACCCAUGGGGUUCCCCAGCCUUCACUCUGAGAAAGACUGAGCUACACUUUCAGUUAAUCAGGAGCAGAAAAGCAACCAGUUGCAGAGGUGAACUACCUCUUCACAUACUGUACAUUUCAUGUUUUUUUUGUUUUGUUUUGGUUUUUUUUACAUAUGAUGAUGUGAAUAAUAUGUGAUCUCACAUGUCAAAAUAUGUGAAGGUGCAUUUCACUAUAUUAUUGCCAUGAAAUUGCACAUAUGAAUUUGCAUGAAUUUAUACUGUAUGUUAAUAAUGUGGGAAUAUAAAACCAUAUGUGGGAAACCUAAUGUGCAAAUGAAUAAAUCAUAUGAAAAAUCACAUGUGGAAAAAUAAAAUCAUAUGCCCUAUGUAAGGAAAAAUUUACGUGAAAAAAUCAUGCAUUGCGCAGUGUAAAACAUGAUAGCCCCAUUAUGUGAACUUAUUUCUUCUCUUUAACUCCAAUUGUCAUGAGCAUUUUUAGAUAUUGAACUCAAGUUUAUGCGUUUUCAAAAAUUAAAAUUAAAGUAAUCCGUUGUUUUGACUUGGAAAAAUUGUAAAAUGUAACUUUUUGAGUUGAAACAUAGGUUAUCUUCAGGUUGAGUUUACUCACAUUUUUAAAGCAGCAGGACUUGAACUUUCAUUUCUAAGUUUAACCACUUGAAAUGUUUUACAGUGUGGAGAAAAAAGAAUCACGUGGAAUAAAACCCUAUGCAUUACAUAACAUGUUUUGUAAACAAAACAAAUAAAUAAAAACAUGAAAAAAUACAAAAAUAAAAAUGAAUGCUUUGUGCAAAAAUGUGUGAAACUAAACACUGAAGUGUCUAAAAAAAUGCAUAUGUGAAUUAUGAGAUUAUUGAUUGGCAUCAUUAAAUAAAUAC